Molecule: ribosomal RNA, 253 nt
Filed under: uncultured bacterium
Lineage: Bacteria
Description: partial 16S ribosomal RNA
Rfam family: Bacterial small subunit ribosomal RNA
Source: RNAcentral
UACGUAGGUGGCAAGCGUUAUCCGGAAUUACUGGGCGUAAAGCGCACGCAGGCGGUCUUUUAAGUUUGACGUGAAAGCUCCCGGCUUAACUGGGAGAGGUCGUUGAAGACUGGGAGACUUGAGGCAAUGAGAGGGGUGUAGAAUUCCUGGUGUAGUGGUGGAAUGCGCAGAUAUCAGGAGGAACACCAAUGGCGAAGGCAGCUCGCUGGGACGGUACUGACGCUGAGACGCGAAAGCGUGGGGAGCAAACAGG